AAUUCGUGCAUCAUCAGUCAACAACACUGAAUUCCGACGAACUUUUACCAACACUAAAAAAUAUUAUUCUUCGGGAGAAAAAUAUCUGUCCCAGCCCUUCCAAAAUUGUUUUUAUGCACAUGGGGAUGUGGUUUGUGGAUCACAAGUUGAGAAUCAACAUUAUUUUAUUCAAACAACAAUCCAGGUACAUGCAUUAGGAUAUAAAAAAAUAAAAUAUACAAAUACUUCAUUGUCCUUUUAUCUAGCCAUCUGCAAACCAUGCAUGAUAACAAAUUAAUAUUAGUGAUAUCAAAUAUUAUAGGACACUCGUAAAUUGUGGUAU
Nematostella vectensis (starlet sea anemone) is the source of this 322-nucleotide long non-coding RNA. RefSeq lists it as uncharacterized. Lineage: Eukaryota; Metazoa; Cnidaria; Anthozoa; Actiniaria; Edwardsiidae. The record is from RefSeq and is a predicted model, not a curated record. The transcript has 2 exons.